Papaver somniferum (opium poppy) is the source of this 1502-nucleotide long non-coding RNA. RefSeq lists it as uncharacterized. Lineage: Eukaryota; Viridiplantae; Streptophyta; Magnoliopsida; Ranunculales; Papaveraceae. The transcript is spliced from 6 exons. The record is from RefSeq and is a predicted model, not a curated record.
UAUAGUUUUAUAAUUCUACCCUUUGUCGAAAACCCACCAUCUACACCAAGUAAAAUUCGUUUUCAUAAGAAUCCAUUCAAGAAACUUCUCAAACGUUUCCUAAAUUUUGGAUUAACUCUCUCUAACUGUAAAGUUUUCAAAUUGUAAUUCUCAGAAAUCUGAAGCGAGUGUUAUCAAUGGCGAUACGAGAAUUUCAGUUGUACAACAGCAUGUCUAAGCAGAAGGAGAUCUUCGUACCUAAAGAGCCAGGGAAAGUUGGGAUGUAUAUGUGUGGUGUUACAGCUUAUGAUCUCAGUCAUAUCGGUCAUGCUCGUGCAUAUAUUGUUUUUGAUGUCCUUCAUAGAUUAUACAAAUUGAUUGUGACGGAGAUGUCUACUUUUCGGUGACAAAUUUCCAGCUUAUGGCCGGUUAGGUUAAAUGGCGGGUUAGGCAUGUACCUGGAAUUUGAUCUGGUUCUUGCUGGCAGAUUAUACAAAAAUGAUUGUGCUUAUGCUGCUGACGGAGAUGUCUACUUUUCGGAUGACAAAUUUUUAGCUUAUGGGCGGCUAUCUGGGCGAAAAUUAGAAGACGAUCGAGCUGGUGGAGGUGGGAGAGCUCAAGACAGUUUAACUUCAAAGAAAAGAAAUCAAAAUGACUUUGCAUGAUAGAAGGCUGCAAAGCCGGGGGAAAUUAGCUGGGAAAGUCCUUGGGGACCUGGUGGCACAUAGAGUGCAGUGCCAUGAGUGACCGUUAUCUGACUUCCUCCUUUGAUAUUCAUGGUGGAGGAAUGGAUCUGAUAUUCCCACAUCAUGAAAAUGAACUUGCUCAGAGUUGCGCUCCCCCCCGCCCCAACACUUGUGAAAUUAAAUAUUGGAAGCAUAAUGGGUUUGUCAAUACGAACAACGAGAAAAUGUCCAAGUCCCUUGGCAACUUUUUACUAUUUGUCAUCAAAUUGUAUCAUCCGUUAGCAUUGAGGUAUUUCAUGAUGACUACGCACUAUCGGUCUCCUGUCAAUUACUCACUAGAUCAGCUAGAUAUUGCGUCUGAUACUGUUUUGUACUCGUAUCAGAUGUUGCUGGACUGUGACGAGGCCUUAAUUCCAUUUCGAGAGAAAAAUCCGAGGGAUCAGUACCAAAGGGCAAAAAUAUUCGAAUAACUCCCGACGCCCAGGAAUGCAUCAAUAAAUUAAAGACUGAUUUUUACACUAAAAUGUCAGAUGAUCUCCACGCUCAAGACUUCCUGAAUGGUGCUCUUCAGGAAAUUUUGAAGCUCAUAAACAGUUCGCUGAACAAGCUCAAGAAGGCAAAGCAACAACAGCAAUCGUUGUUCCCGUCCCUUGCUGAAAUGGAGAAAGAAGCGAAGAUGGUUCUAGAUACUCUUGGGCUAAUGUCAUCUUUAUCCUAUUCAGAGGUACGGCGUCUUACGUCACCGAUAGUCCGUUUAUCUCCCUCAAGGAACAUUUCAGUGGAAGUUUAAAACAACCAAAAGAAAUUCCGUCAUUUUUCUUCACUAUCUGAAUUGUG